AUUGAACGCUGGCGGCAGGCCUAACACAUGCAAGUCGAACGGUAACAGGAAACAGCUUGCUGUUUCGCUGACGAGUGGCGGACGGGUGAGUAAUGUCUGGGAAACUGCCUGAUGGAGGGGGAUAACUACUGGAAACGGUAGCUAAUACCGCAUAACGUCGCAAGACCAAAGAGGGGGACCCUCGGGCCUCUUGCCAUCGGAUGUGCCCAGAUGGGAUUAGCUUGUUGGUGGGGUAACGGCUCACCAAGGCGACGAUCCCUAGCUGGUCUGAGAGGAUGACCAGCCACACUGGAACUGAGACACGGUCCAGACUCCUACGGGAGGCAGCAGUGGGGAAUAUUGCACAAUGGGCGCAAGCCUGAUGCAGCCAUGCCGCGUGUAUGAAGAAGGCCUUCGGGUUGUAAAGUACUUUCAGCGGGGAGGAAGGGAGUAAAGUUAAUACCUUUGCUCAUUGACGUUACCCGCAGAAGAAGCACCAGCUAACUCCGUG
RNAcentral lists this ribosomal RNA (490 nucleotides) under uncultured bacterium. Its description in RNAcentral is "partial 16S ribosomal RNA". It matches the Rfam family "Bacterial small subunit ribosomal RNA", at positions 30 to 507 of the family's 1533-position model. The record is from RNAcentral.